This is a long non-coding RNA of Hippocampus comes (tiger tail seahorse), 729 nucleotides long. RefSeq lists it as uncharacterized. Lineage: Eukaryota; Metazoa; Chordata; Actinopteri; Syngnathiformes; Syngnathidae. The record is from RefSeq and is a predicted model, not a curated record. The transcript is spliced from 2 exons.
CAUGAAAAGAGUCCGAUGGAGUGGCGAGGAAGACAAACGCAUCCAAGACGAAGGGACAGACAAGGGGGCAGACGGAAAGUUCAGACAAAGAGACGGCGAACGGCGUGAGGCGACAGGAAAGUCCCACCGACAGCACACCGGCGAACCCACGCUUGCGCGCGCGCCCCCCUUGCAGAGGCGGACGGCGCCGCCUUCGCGGUCCUUGGGAGAGGGGGACGCUGAUGACGUCAAAGCCGGCGCCGAGCCACUCCACCAGCUCGAAUCCAACAACGUUGACGUUCCCAACGCCGCUUCGGAUUUUGAGUCGCAGGAAGCCCGGCGGGGAAGUCGCUCGUUUACAUUUUUUUUUUUUUUUUUGCUUUUACGCAGUCGCUCGCCGCACCCACUGUACUGCGUCAACGAACCCCUCGACCGUUGAGAACGAUGGUCACAAAUUCUUCACACUUUUUACACAACGCUUGAAUACUUCUAACAUGAUGGCGCUUCCUCACAUCUUUUGUGCAGCACAGACAAACAUUCUGACACCAGAGACCAAUAACUCAAACAAAGGCCGGAAAAAAGUCGCCAAAGACGAACGGGGUUGUAGGUCACCUGAAGGACGUGGAGGCGCGUACGCUCACGCACCUCCACAUCCACGCGCGUGAUUCAUGCACAUUGGCCGUCCGUUCCUACGCGCGCAUGGCGUGGAUCCAUUCAGUCGCUCAGAGCAUCACCCCCUCCACCCUCCAC